AACGCAUAUUGCACCCUCUGGUAUUCUGGGGGGUAUACCUGUUCGAGCGUCAUUACAAACAUCAAGCACUGCUUGGUAUUAGAUGUAAUUGCAACAAAUUCGUCCUAAAAUAAGUGGCUGUAGCAUCUGGCUUCCAGCGUAGUAAAUUUCUCGCUGUGGAUACUCAGUUGUUUAUUGCCAACAACCACUAUUUUUCAAGUUGACCUCGGAUCAGGUAGGGAUACCCGCUGAACUUAA
Molecule: unclassified non-coding RNA, 237 nt
Filed under: uncultured fungus
Lineage: Eukaryota; Fungi
Description: sequence contains ITS2
Source: RNAcentral